Molecule: long non-coding RNA, 8847 nt
Organism: Gallus gallus (chicken)
Lineage: Eukaryota; Metazoa; Chordata; Aves; Galliformes; Phasianidae
Source: Ensembl
GUAGCUUUCAAAAUGUUUGUAUCUGAAUUCCAGAAAAUUGUUUCAGCAAGUAAUGAAUUUUAAUGCUGAUACUGUUGUUACUGUGUUUUCUCAACUUCUUUACAUAGUACUGAUAUUUAAGAAUCACAGAAUGGUUUGGGAUAGAAGGGACCUCCUCAUCUAGUUCAGCCCCCUGCUGCAGAAGGGUCCCCUAGAGCAGGCUGCCAAGGACCACACUCCAAACAACUUCUGAAUAGCUACAGGGAUGGAGAUUCCGUCACUUCUUUUUUAUUUUUCCAUUGGAUUUUCUAAAAUAAAAUCUCUCUCACUCCAAAAGAACUCCUUCUUGAACUGUUCUUGUUAAUUAAAGAGAAGCUUAUCUAAGAACAUUUUUAUGAUCUCUGCUUCUCACCAUCCUCCUCACAAUUGCAGUACAUCACACAAUCCAAACUGUUUUCUAACACCAAUGUUAUUCUCAAACCAAAGGAUAUUUUGUUUGCACUGGCUGACUUCUGACAACACUGAACACUGGACGUUUUAUCAUCUAAAAAGCCGAAUUCCUACUCUGAUAACAAAAGUAACAUCUGCUUUAAAAACAACAACAAAAAGCAAAAUUAAGAACACCCCAGAUAAUUUGACUAAAAUGUAUACUCUAAUCCAGUGCUUCCUAAUCCAAGUGGGCUCUGCAAUUGCAGAAUUCCUAUGAAUUUAAAAAUAGGAAAUCUAGAUGCUGGGAUCUCUGGUUCUUUCUGGCAAUGUUUUGUGCUGCUGCUUGCUCUAAUGUACGGCCUGUACAGAAGCAACCUACUGCCCUCUUGACAUUUAGUACACCAUCUUCUCUCAGAAUUCCAACUCAGAGCUUUGGCUGUAAAGAAAGCUUCUACUAACUUUUUUUUUUUCCUAGCAGAUCUCUGUUUCAUCUACCCAGGUACCUAGCAAUAGUCAAUUACAUAAAGAAAGGAGACAAGAUAGGAUCUCUUUUGCAUGUAUGCAAUUAUAUUAUGGUAGUAAGAAAGCAUAGGAGUGAGAUACUCAGUAGUGGAUGCUGUGAUUAUAUAAGCCACCCGCACAGCACCAGCUUAGUCCCGCUGUUCUUUCACUCCCCAACCUCUCUUUGGUGAGAUUCAGGGUAUGUUUUAUGUUUGACAAAGCAGGGACAGAGAGUGUGUCAAGAGGCAAGUUUGGGCUCCCUGAAUCUCAGUCCCCAAUACCCAACCCUAGAAAACAUUAAGGAAGAUAGAAAUCUGCUUUGACACUUGCCAGAUGUCAAAGCUUAGAACUAUACCACCUGAAAAGAAAUAGCAGAAAGACACAGCUCUAGUUAUAUUUUUCUCCAUCCCCAGUGAACAUGCUAUGCCAAGAUUAGUGUUUUCUGGGGACUGGAUAUACACUGAGCCUUCUCAGCUGGAAAGCCAUAAGUAUUUUCUGGUCGGCUUGUACUGUUUCAAAGCCACCCUGGAAGCAGAGCAUAGCCAGAUAGGCCCUUGUGUUCAUGUUUCAUUCCAAGUGCCUGGAAUAUACAUCCCUCCCCUCAACCCCAAGCUUAUGUAACUGGAUGGCUCACUUUGUUAGCAGCAUUGCAUUAUUUAUUAUCUUGAGAAAAUCAGCAUCACUAGGUCUAAAAUUCACUGGAAAAGAAUUAAGUGAGCCAACAAGUAAAGCUUUUCACACUUACAUAGAUAUUAUGCUCCUUUCCUAAUAUAUCUAAAUAUGCUGUGAUCCAAAUGUUCAGCAAAAUCUGGUGCCUGUUAGCUUCUGUUAAAAUCUUCAUGGAACAAUUAACUAAUAAACAAAAGGCUUAUAUAUAAUGAACAACAUAUUUGGCUGGAGAGUGAAAAAGAUUAUAAACAGCUUUUGUACCCUGUCCUCUAAAGUCUGAAAACAGACUGUCAGCCCCAAACACUCCAGUUACGAGAACACAUUGGAAAGGAGAUGGAGAAAGGUAGGCUCAAAACAAAUCAAGAUCAUAAGGCAAAAUACAGAGUUACAAAAAUGAUGUUGGAGUCUUGUUUCCUAACAUGUGUUAAGAUUUCUAUCAUUGCUGAUGUUAAUAAUUGACAUGAAAUACAGAGAGAGUUAGAUAACAGCAGGAACGCUCAGGCCAGGAACCCAUUUCAUUUUCUAGUGGUGUGAGGCACAGGGUAAGGGGGAAAUACACAGUGUCAUGACAGAGAUGCUCUUGCUUCACCGUGUUACUCUCAAGGUAUUUUGUAUUGUCUAGAAAGAGGAUUCUGGUUGUGGCAGGGAACAGGAAAAAGAACAAGAUGUGAAUUUAGUGUUUGUGGAAGUGAGAAUUAAUAGCAAAACCUUGAGCUGGGUAUAAGCUCUGCAGGUAUUGUGCAAGCCUCUUCACACAGCACUGCCAUCUCACCCCAAUUUAUGACCUGGAACAUAGAAAAUUUUACUGCUUUUAGCUGGGACUGCAAGUUGUACCAAAGCAUACAAUGAUUUCAUAAAUCCAAGGGAAAGAGGUGAAAGCUCCAAGUUUCUUUAGGUCUUUUGCCUAGCUCAGGUGCAGCCUGGAGAAAAUGUGAUGGCACACUGAAGCAUCUGAGCCUGCAGAUCACAGUGCCAACAUUUGAAUGCAGGGGUUAAAUACAGUGAUUCAGUAUUCCCUAACUCAGAGUGCAUGAGCAAGCCAGGAUUUGUAGCACAAGCAAAUACAGGUAAACGAGUAGGAAUGGCUUCAGAAUGGCUGCAGUUUACACUUUCAGAAAGUUCUACAAGCAAAAAUCAAAUGGGAAGAAUAAUCAGAGGAGCAUCCGUCAGAUCUUCCUCCCCCUGCCCCUCCACACUGAAAAAAAAAAGGAUGCAAGAAAGCAUAAUUCUGAAGAGCACUGCUGAAUACAAUCCAGAUCUGACUUCAAGCAAAUCUCUUAGCUAUUAGUGGUUCCAUGAAUCUUUUUCUGAAAGAAGAACGCAGCUGAAUUUGAUGCCAGGGCUGCAGACACAGAAACAGAGAGCAAUGCAAAAUCCUGUAAAAACACGGAAAAGAUUUCCCUCCCAUAACAUCCAGAAGGUAUCACUUUGCAAUCUUUAUUAGGCAGUCCCUGCUCCUGAGCUCACCACAGAAGCAGUGCCCAAGACGUUCCUUCCCUACCACGGCUCCUAUUUCCAUUAGUCAUAGUGCCAUCACUCACACUGGGUGCCAACAGCACUUCGUCUUCUCUGCAAAGCUUAACUGUGUGUUACCGGAUUUACUCAAUUCUGACCAAUAAGCAGUAUCUCAAUUAUCCUGUAUUUUGUUACAUACCAUAAACAUUCCAUUAAAAAUAGCCCAAAUUCUUUGUUAUUAUUUAGCGAUGAAGGCCCAGGUUUCGUUGCCAGGCACAGGCUAAAUGGCACAGUCGAUAGGACCCUUCAGAACAUUUCCCGAAAAAACAUGCUAUUUACAGACAUUAAAAGUUAAACCAAACAUUCUUAGCAAACCAUUCAUUUAUUUUCUAUUGUCUGUUUUAUCCCAUUUCCUUAUUAUCAAGCCUUUGUCUCCUGUGCAAGUCUAUCUUGCCAUACCAAAGAGGAAGCACUGUUGAGAAUGCCCAUCUCCACACAGAUAAGGAAGCAGAUUUACAUCCAAGGAACAAUUAACACACAUGAAAAGUCACCAUGUUUUGAAUAGGGCAGAAUAGCCAGUAACUUUGAAGUGUGAGGUCUGGUAGAUUGAAGCUAAUGUUUAAAAUGGAGAAAGCAUCUUGUAUCACCAUCCUAUCCACUCAUAUACUACUGAUAAUUGUGCUUAGAUUUAGAGAAAAUCCUUUUUCACUGGCUUUCAAAUAGCCACUGAAUAAGUGACAUCAGUAGUACAAUAUGGAUUUCAUAAUAACACACUGACAGUAAAAAAAAGGCUGUCAAGCACAUUCCUGAAAGUGCAUUGCUAUUUUCCUAACUUGACUGCUGCACUGUCUCUUAUAUUCCUUCCCUUCUAAAAGUCUUAGACCUGAAAGCUCAAAAUGCUGCUUAUUCGCUGGUUUUCAUGUAACGACUAUACUGAUGAGUCAGAAACAUUGUUACUAACAUCUCAUUUAGUUUCACCUGCUGAAAAUGGAAAACAGCCAAAAUAAAAAAGCAAUUGGAAGAAUAUUGAUGAGCAAUAAACUUCUCUUAUUUCACUACAAAAUUCUUGAAAUUCCAUCCUUCCGAUUGCUCACAAACCCAGAUGAGUACACACACACAAUGACACACAAGUUCAGCCUCUGUUUACAUGCUUGCAGAUGAGUUCAGUACUACAUGAUCUUUAUCAGUGUUACUACAAAAUGCCUUUACAGACAUGUCUAUGACACUUCAUAGAAUCACGGAAUCAUAGAAUCACUCAGGUUGGAAAAGACCUCAAAGAUCAUCGAGUCCAACCACAACCUAAACAUAGUACCCUAACUAACAACCCUCUGCUAAAUCAUGUCCCCGAACACCACAUCCAAACAGUUUUUAAACACAUCCAGGGAUGGUGACUCAACCACUGCCCUGGGGAGCCCAUUCCAGUGCUUAACAACCCUUUCUGUAAAGAAGUUCUUCCUGAUGUCCAACCUAAACUUCCCCUGGCGCAACUUGAGGCCAUUUCCCCUCAUUCUGUCACCUGUCAGCAGUGAGAAGAGACCAACCCCACUCUCACUGUAAGCACCUUUUGGGUAUUUGAAGAGAGCAAUAAGGUCUCCCCUCAGCCUCCUUUUCCCCAGACUACACAGCCCCAGUUUUCUCAGCCUCUCCUCAUAGGGCAUAGUCUUCAAGCGCUUCACCCCUUCACAAGCCUUGUUGCCCUUCUUUGGACCUGCUCCAACACCUCAAUGUCCUUUGCCCAAAACUGAACACAGUACUCGAGGUGAGGCCUCACCAGUGCCGAGUACAGGGGCAGGAUUACUUCCCUACUCCUGCUCACCACACCACUCCUGAUACAAGCCAGGAUGCCACUGGCCUUCCUGGCCACCUGAGCACACUGUUGGCUCACAUUCAGCUGACUGUCCAUCAGUACACCGAGGUCCCUUUCCAUCAAGCAGCUUUCCAGCUACUCAUUCCCAAGCAUGUAGGGUAGCCUGGGGUUGUUGAGUCCAAAAUGGAGGACCCGACAAUUGGCCCUAUUGAAACUCACACAGUCUGUCUUCACCCAUCGAUGCAGUCUACCCAGGUCCCUUUGUUGUGCCCUUCUCCCCUCAGGAAGAUCAACACUCCCUCCCAGCUUGGUGUCGUCCACAAACUUCAGAAGCAGUUGAAAUGGAUUUGGGGUUGCCAGCAGGUUUAUCUUUUUUACCACCAAAUAACAGAGCAGACAGUAUACCCUUGGUAUUUUUCACAGUCUGACAUUUUUUUCAAAAGUACCAAUUUGUAAAGCGAAGAUAUAAACCAGAUUCAUCUGACUUUUUCAUCCCUCUAAAACAACUGCACUCUUUCCUUGGGGUAUACCUGAAAGCUUGAAAUUGAAAUAACGCAUAUCUCACAGGGAAACACAAAUUGUAUGAUAAAAUACACCCAAAAUAUCUCUGGGUAUCCUCACUUUAAUAUAAUUCUUGUACAUAGAAAAUGAAAAUCUUUCACCUUCCCUCACCUGUCUUCAAUAAUAAAUGCUGCGCACACAUCAAUAUCAGUAUAUCAUGUAUUGCUUCAGGUACACCACUCAGAUGAAUACAUAUUUCUCACUCUAAGUAGAGAACUGACUUCAGAGAAAACAAAAAAUCCAGCUCUUACACUCUGCAGUUUAGGGGACAUUGUUAGUAAGUGGAGGUUGGACAGAAGCAGGGCCUGACGGGAUUCCACACAGGCACAGUGCAAACCGGGCCCUGGUGACUCCGCAUGCCCAGCUCCAGGCAGACCUGGCUGCUGCACGUUGACCAGCUCUGCGCUGAGCGAGCAGCCAGAUGUGUGUCAGCCCCACUUCUGGCUCCCACUUCCUGUGUUUCAAAAAAGUUUCAUUCAUCUCUAAUGAGUAGAGACUGAAACUGACAAAAUAUUUCACAUUUCCAAUGCCUCAUAAAACUUCAAACUUCUUACAAACUGCUUUCAAUUUCACUCAGUAUUUUCCUGUAUUUUUAUCAUUCUACAUCAAACACUAUGAUUCAUCCUCCACUUCAAUGACAAAUAGAAGCUUAAGGGGAAGAUAACAUCUUUUCCUGUGAAAGUAUCUGUUAUUUCCUGUCCUGAAUAACAAGGUUUCUAAAGAUUAAAUGAACUUUUGGAAAAAGCACAGCAAGUUCAUAAAAAGCCCUUAAUCUGAAUGCUAUAGGAAGCCAAAUUACAAAGUUUUUUUUCCACAUUUCAGACAUACUGAAUUAGAUACAAACAAUAUCAUUCAUAAUGCGCCUAUUUUCACAUCGGAGAAAAUGACAGAUACUAAAGGCAAAUGUCCCAACUCAGACAAAUCAAAAUACCAAAUACUGUACCAUUUAAUGAGCCAAUUGGUUUCAGAGGUGUGGGACAACCUGUAGCUUGUUCUGCCUACCAAGAUGCAGGUUUCUUCUGUCUAAAACCGAUGCUGUUCAUUAUGCUGUAAACAAGAGAAAGAAGAGCCUGAAGAGGUCAGUAGGAGAAGCAAGCAUUAUCAAGGCUGAUGGGAAAGUUAAAAGAAUUUUCUCCCACCAUCUUGUUUAAGAUCUAACUGUUCUAAUAACAGGACUGAAAUCAAGUUUAGUCAUUUUGUUCUUGACAUGAAACCCUACGAUUUCAUCUUUAUAAAGAUGCUUCAAACAGAAAAGAAAGUAGCUGCCAAAAGACAAUUCUGAAAGAUCCCCAUGAGGGGGAAAAAGCCCACCUGUCCAAUCUCUUGGCAUUUAUUAUCAAAACUCCUGACAAGAAAUGAACUAAUUGUUCCAUUAUAUUGCAUAAGUUUCUAAUACAAAUCCAUAAAUAUUAAUUCACGUAAGAAACUUCUUGGCAGCUAUUUUGAGUUAAGGACAACUGAUUUAUUUCCAGAUCAACGGCACAGUUUUCUAGGUAACCAUAUUUAAAAAUCAUAACUUUCCUCAAAAGUGCUCCUAAAUGUUAUCAUUGUGAGUAGAUCACCUAUCAAGUUAAGAAAGAUAGGAAAAGGUAGAUUUAUUCAGAACAACCUAGAAAGAAAUAUGGAAAGAUUUUAUUCAAAGUUCUUAAUUAUCUUGCAACAACACUGGUUGUUAGAAUACAGAGACAAAAGUACUCCUGCAGGCAGCACUAGAUGGUUUUUGCUUCCCAAAAUUUAGUACAUCUACAGAAACGUAAGUGUAAGUGAUCACAGAACGUAUGGGUCUCAACUAUGAUUAAUCUACAGCAGCAAUUACAAGGAAGUUCACAUUGCUUAUUAUUUUUGACCCUGUUUCUCUUUUUUCUGCUCUUCUUAGAAAUGUCAUUUUAAAAUUACAUCUCUGUGUGAAAGCACUGAACUUGUACUGUGUUCUCCUAUCUUUAUUCUUUCCCACAGUGCACCAGUUUUUAUUUCUGAUGAGUACUUAAAUCAUGUUUCUGUUUGCUCUAUCAACCACUUUCUCUGGCUGUAAGCACAGUGAAACCUCUGAUCCUCACAGGGAGUAACCAUUGAACCUGUCAGGGUUAAUGGUAUUAUGGGUUGCAGGUUUUACUCCACACUCUCCAAAAGGCAGGAGGAGAGUCCUGUAGCCUGACCUCCAUAGCUGUGCUGCUUGCCAGAGAGGGUAGGAGGAGGAAUGGCUAAGGGAGCCAGGCACGCUUCUUUGUUUUCAGUAAACAUUGCCUGGAAAAUGGGCCUGCAUUAUAGCACAGAUUACAGACCAAGAUAGAUAGCGGUUGGCUGUGCUAGAGAAGCUCUCUGAGAGGAAUGACAGAGUUGGCCUCAGGAGGAACGUGCCAGAGAAUCAAGCAGCAGUUGGUGCACACCGGUCUUGGUGUGGUAGCUGAAGGGUGUAGCAAGAAUAGACAAAUUAAUUACAUCCUCUGCUACCACUCCAACUGUGCUUAUUGCUUUUCUGCACAGCUGAGAAUGCAUCAAAGGCUCAGUCUUUGUAUUGUCAGCUACCCCCUAAAAAUGAUUUUCGAGGGCAUAUACGCUAUUGUAACUGCAUCUCAUUAACCAAGGCACUGUUUGUGGUGCCUUUGAAAGCAGUUUCCAGCUGUUUGGUAUUCCAUGGUAGUGUGGCUGCACUGUUGGAACAAGCUAGUUCAAAGACAGAUGGAGAAGUCUGCACUAAUUUCAGCACAUAAUACUUCCUUUCUCCAGAUGGAAACAGCCUGACCCAAACCAAUUUGGAUUCAAAGAGCAGUGUGAAAUGCAUUCCUAGGGAAGCCACUGAAAUGGUAGAGCAGGUUUGAAACUCUUUUACUGAGGAGAUGACCCAGUCUAAAUGGAGGCAGAGGGAUGGCGACACUGCAGGUGCAGGACAUGUCCUGUAUGGUAUGUCCUUUUGGGGGAGUACGGUCUGAGUGCCUGGAUCAAUUUUUGUCCCAAACCUACAUUUCCCUUGUGGAAGGAAGGCAGGAAGGAAGGAAGGAAGGAAGGCAGGAAGGCAGGAAGGCAGGAAGGCAGGAAGGCAGGAAGGCAGGAAGGCAGGAAGGCAGGCAGGAAGGCAGGCAGGCAGGAAGGCAGGAAGGCAGGAAGGCAGGAAGGCAGGAAGGCAGGAAGGCAGGAAGGCAGGAAGGCAGGAAGGCAGGAAGGCAGGAAGGCAGGAAGGCAGGAAGGAAGGCAGGAAGGAAGGCAGGAAGGAAGGCAGGAAGGAAGGCAGGAAGGAAGGCAGGAAGGCAGGAAGGCAGGAAGGCAGGAAGGCAGGAAGGCAGGAAGGCAGGAAGGCAGGAAGGCAGGAAGGCAGGAAGGCAGGAAGGCAGGAAGGCAGGCAGGCAGGCAGGCAGGCAGGCAGGCAGGAAGGCAGGAAGGCAGGAAGGCAGGCAGGCAGGCAGGCAGGCAGGCAGGCAGGAAGGCAGGCAGGCAGGAAGGCAGGCAGG